GGGGAUAAUAGCAAGGAUGGCUUCCAGAGGCCCUGACAGGAGGAGUUGCUGGUGGACUGGAGAAAGGGACAGAGGGAGAAGAGCCCCAAUUUCCAGGCCUGGUGAUGAGAAGCCCAUGAAGGCUCAGCCUCCUUGACCUGUCCUCUGGAGGGCGCAGGGCCUCAGGGCAGGGCUGAUGUGUUUCAGGGCUCCCAUGUGACCCGGUGGCCCGGCGUCUACCUGCUCCAGUGGCAAAUGCACAGCCCCCCCAGCAGCGUGGCCUGCAGCCUCCCGGGUGUGGACGAUGUCCUGACGGCUCUGCACAGCCCCGGGCCCAAGUGCAAACUUCUCUACUACUGUGAGGUGCUCGCCUCUGAGGACUUCAGUCAUUUCACCCUCUCCCUGGUUUGGUAACUGAAGCCUUCUGAAAUGAACCAGUGUCAGGCUCCAGUGAGGACUCCAUCCCCAAUUCAGGAAGCACAGAGGUGGAGCAUAAUCCCCCCAAUUUGUUUAUGUGCGGCUGACUUCUCUCAAGAUGGUGU
Long non-coding RNA from Homo sapiens (human), 521 nucleotides. The record is from Ensembl. NCBI's taxonomy places the organism in Eukaryota, Metazoa, Chordata, Mammalia, Primates, Hominidae.